GAUGAACGCUGACAGAAUGCUUAACACAUGCAAGUCAACUUGAACUUCGGUUUGGGUGGCUGACGGGUGAGUAACGCGUAAAGAACUUGCCUCACAGCUAGGGACAACAUUUGUAAACGAAUGCUAAUACCUGAUAUUAUGAUUAUAUGGCAUCGUAUAAUUAUGAAAUCUAUAUGCGCUGUGAUAGAGCUUUGCGUCCCAUUAGCUAGUUGGAGAGGUAACAGCUCACCAAGGCGAUGAUGGGUAGCCGGCCUGAGAGGGUGAUCGGCCACAAGGGGACGGAGACACGGCCCUUACGACUACGGGAGGCAGCAGUGGGGAAUAUUGGUCAACGGACCGAGAGUCUGAUACAGCAAUUCUGUGUGCACGAUGAAGUUUUUCGGAAUGUAAAGUGCUUUCAGUUGGGAAGCAAAAAAUGACGGUACCAACAGAAGAAGUGACGGCUAAAUACGUG
This 454-nucleotide ribosomal RNA is filed under the name uncultured bacterium. RNAcentral's name for it is "partial 16S ribosomal RNA". It matches the Rfam family "Bacterial small subunit ribosomal RNA", at positions 28 to 507 of the family's 1533-position model. The record is from RNAcentral.